GACGAACGCUGGCGGCGUGCUUAACACAUGCAAGUCGAACGUGAUUUUUGUGGAAAGCCCUUCGGAGACGGAAGCGAAAUGAAAGUGGCGAACGGGUGAGUAACACGUGAGCAACUUACCUUACACAGGGGGAUAGCCGUUGGAAACGACAAUUAAUACCGCAUGAGACCACAAAGCCACAUGGCUUAGGGGUAAAAGAUUUAUCGGUGUAAGAUGGGCUCGCGUCUGAUUAGCUAGUUGGAAGGGUAAAGGCCUACCAAGGCAACGAUCAGUAGCCGGUCUGAGAGGAUGAACGGCCACAUUGGAACUGAGACACGGUCCAAACUCCUACGGGAGGCAGCAGUGGGGAAUAUUGCACAAUGGGGGGAACCCUGAUGCAGCGACGCCGCGUGAGCGAAGAAGGUUUUCGAAUCGUAAAGCUCUGU
Molecule: ribosomal RNA, 425 nt
Filed under: Parvimonas sp. oral taxon 110
Lineage: Bacteria; Bacillati; Bacillota; Tissierellia; Tissierellales; Peptoniphilaceae
Description: bacterial SSU rRNA
Rfam family: Bacterial small subunit ribosomal RNA
Source: RNAcentral